AAAAAGACAAACUCUGAGUUUCCGUGUCCAACGUUUGACUGUCCGUCUUAUAUGAAUUUUUUUUAUAAUUAGUAUUUUCAUUGUUGUUAGAUGAUAGAUGAUAAAACAUGAUUAAUACUUUAUGUGUGACUUGCCUUUUUAAUUUUUUUCAUAAUUUUUUCAAAUAAGAUGGAUGGUCAAACGUUGGACACGGAAAUCCAAGAUUUGUCUUUUU
Oryza sativa Indica Group (long-grained rice) is the source of this 214-nucleotide microRNA precursor. It matches the Rfam family "MIR812 microRNA precursor family". The record is from Rfam. Lineage: Eukaryota; Viridiplantae; Streptophyta; Magnoliopsida; Poales; Poaceae.